Molecule: ribosomal RNA, 800 nt
Filed under: uncultured bacterium
Lineage: Bacteria
Description: bacterial SSU rRNA
Rfam family: Bacterial small subunit ribosomal RNA
Source: RNAcentral
UUUGUGGGGUGCUCGAGUGGCGAACGGGUGAGUAACACGUGAGUAACCUGCCCUUGACUUUGGGAUAACUUCAGGAAACUGGGGCUAAUACCGGAUAGGAGCUCCUGCUGCAUGGUGGGGGUUGGAAAGUUUCGGCGGUUGGGGAUGGACUCGCGGCUUAUCAGCUUGUUGGUGGGGUAGUGGCUUACCAAGGCUUUGACGGGUAGCCGGCCUGAGAGGGUGACCGGCCACAUUGGGACUGAGAUACGGCCCAGACUCCUACGGGAGGCAGCAGUGGGGAAUAUUGCACAAUGGGCGGAAGCCUGAUGCAGCAACGCCGCGUGCGGGAUGACGGCCUUCGGGUUGUAAACCGCUUUCGCCUGUGACGAAGCGUGAGUGACGGUAAUGGGUAAAGAAGCACCGGCUAACUACGUGCCAGCAGCCGCGGUGAUACGUAGGGUGCGAGCGUUGUCCGGAUUUAUUGGGCGUAAAGGGCUCGUAGGUGGUUGAUCGCGUCGGAAGUGUAAUCUUGGGGCUUAACCCUGAGCGUGCUUUCGAUACGGGUUGACUUGAGGAAGGUAGGGGAGAAUGGAAUUCCUGGUGGAGCGGUGGAAUGCGCAGAUAUCAGGAGGAACACCAGUGGCGAAGGCGGUUCUCUGGGCCUUUCCUGACGCUGAGGAGCGAAAGCGUGGGGAGCGAACAGGCUUAGAUACCCUGGUAGUCCACGCUGUAAACGGUGGGUACUAGGUGUGGGGUCCAUUCCACGGGUUCCGUGCCGUAGCUAACGCUUUAAGUACCCCGCCUGGGGAGUACGGCCGCAA